GAGGGCUUAACUGUCUCCUGUAGCCAAUCAAUGAAAUUGAUCUCACAGUACAAAUGCUGUGAUAUAACUAUAAGACGAGAAGACCCUGUGGAGCUUUAAACCUUCCACAUUAACUAAUUACCCUUAACUACCAUUAGUAUAACGUGAGUUUUAAGUUGGGGCGACUAUGGAGUAAAAAUUAACCUCCAAGUAAUACGAUUAAACCUCGUUACACACGGCUAACAAGCCUAGUCAAAACACACGACCCAGUCAAACUGACUAUCGAACCAAGUUACCCCAGGGAUAACAGCGCCAUCCCCUUAAAGAGUCCACAUCG
This 316-nucleotide ribosomal RNA is filed under the name Phelsuma lineata (striped day gecko). Its description in RNAcentral is "partial 16S ribosomal RNA". It matches the Rfam family "Bacterial large subunit ribosomal RNA", at positions 2006 to 2507 of the family's 2925-position model. The record is from RNAcentral. Lineage: Eukaryota; Metazoa; Chordata; Lepidosauria; Squamata; Gekkonidae.